Molecule: ribosomal RNA, 1405 nt
Filed under: Psychrobacter okhotskensis
Lineage: Bacteria; Pseudomonadati; Pseudomonadota; Gammaproteobacteria; Moraxellales; Moraxellaceae
Description: bacterial SSU rRNA
Rfam family: Bacterial small subunit ribosomal RNA
Source: RNAcentral
GCAAGUCGAGCGGAAACGAUGGUAGCUUGCUACCAGGCGUCGAGCGGCGGACGGGUGAGUAAUACUUAGGAAUCUACCUAGUAGUGGGGGAUAGCUCGGGGAAACUCGAAUUAAUACCGCAUACGACCUACGGGAGAAAGGGGGCAGUUUACUGCUCUCGCUAUUAGAUGAGCCUAAGUCGGAUUAGCUAGAUGGUGGGGUAAAGGCCUACCAUGGCGACGAUCUGUAGCUGGUCUGAGAGGAUGAUCAGCCACACCGGGACUGAGACACGGCCCGGACUCCUACGGGAGGCAGCAGUGGGGAAUAUUGGACAAUGGGGGAAACCCUGAUCCAGCCAUGCCGCGUGUGUGAAGAAGGCCUUUUGGUUGUAAAGCACUUUAAGCAGUGAAGAAGACUCCGUGGUUAAUACCCACGGACGAUGACAUUAGCUGCAGAAUAAGCACCGGCUAACUCUGUGCCAGCAGCCGCGGUAAUACAGAGGGUGCAAGCGUUAAUCGGAAUUACUGGGCGUAAAGGGAGCGUAGGUGGCUCGAUAAGUCAGAUGUGAAAUCCCCGGGCUCAACCUGGGAACUGCAUCUGAUACUGUUGAGCUAGAGUAUGUGAGAGGAAGGUAGAAUUCCAGGUGUAGCGGUGAAAUGCGUAGAGAUCUGGAGGAAUACCGAUGGCGAAGGCAGCCUUCUGGCAUAAUACUGACACUGAGGCUCGAAAGCGUGGGUAGCAAACAGGAUUAGAUACCCUGGUAGUCCACGCCGUAAACGAUGUCUACUAGUCGUUGGGUCCCUUGAGGACUUAGUGACGCAGCUAACGCAAUAAGUAGACCGCCUGGGGAGUACGGCCGCAAGGUUAAAACUCAAAUGAAUUGACGGGGGCCCGCACAAGCGGUGGAGCAUGUGGUUUAAUUCGAUGCAACGCGAAGAACCUUACCUGGUCUUGACAUAUCUAGAAUCCUGCAGAGAUGCGGGAGUGCCUUCGGGAAUUAGAAUACAGGUGCUGCAUGGCUGUCGUCAGCUCGUGUCGUGAGAUGUUGGGUUAAGUCCCGCAACGAGCGCAACCCUUGUCCUUAGUUACCAGCGGGUUAAGCCGGGAACUCUAAGGAUACUGCCAGUGACAAACUGGAGGAAGGCGGGGACGACGUCAAGUCAUCAUGGCCCUUACGACCAGGGCUACACACGUGCUACAAUGGUAGGUACAGAGGGCAGCUACACAGCGAUGUGAUGCGAAUCUCAAAAAGCCUAUCGUAGUCCAGAUUGGAGUCUGCAACUCGACUCCAUGAAGUAGGAAUCGCUAGUAAUCGCGGAUCAGAAUGCCGCGGUGAAUACGUUCCCGGGCCUUGUACACACCGCCCGUCACACCAUGGGAGUUGAUUGCACCAGAAGUGGAUAGCUUAACCUUCGGGGGAGCGUCA